Long non-coding RNA from Hermetia illucens (black soldier fly), 548 nucleotides. RefSeq lists it as uncharacterized. NCBI's taxonomy places the organism in Eukaryota, Metazoa, Arthropoda, Insecta, Diptera, Stratiomyidae. The record is from RefSeq and is a predicted model, not a curated record. The transcript has 3 exons.
CAACCGGAAAGCUUGCAAAUCUGGAAAGAAAGAUAAAAGAAAUUCAUAUCUCAUGUAAGAAAAUAUGUGACAAUUUCAGAUCAGAAAAAACCAUCGGAUUGUUCUUCAAUGAAUUGAGCGAAUCUACGGCGAAGCAAAUGGCUGGCCGACCUAACUUUUUGCGCCUAUUGCAUCCUGUAAGCCUGCAAAGACAAAUGCUUACACAAAAUUCACAGUGUUAUAUAGCACCAAAUGCUGAGAAUAUGGAGGAAUUGACAAAUUUUGAUCUUCAUUAACACUAUGGGUCACGACUACGAUGUUUUCACUUGAAUGACCCGGUCUAUCAAGCGUUGGUGUUGACACAUGAGGAAUCAAGCCAGUCGACUCAAAUUCUCAAUAGCAUUCUCAAAAGGACGAUUGUGUUGACCCAAUAUAUCGUAAAUUUUACAAAAUGUUACUUUUACCGAUAUAUCAUUGUCAUAGUUUAUUUUUAUUUUAAUGUGACUUUGAGCUAAAUUGAAUUCAUAGUAACAAUUUCCGAAGCUUCCAUUGCUGAUAAAAUGGAAUGU